CUCAAUGUAAAAUAACAAAUUUUGUAUUGUUACUGUUAUCAGCAUUAUUGUAAGUAGAUAAGCUUUACACCUCUCUGUCUUUUGUUUCUUUUUUAAUGGUCUUUGAAAAUGAGAUUACAUGAUCAUAGCAUGUAUGUCUGGGAACUGCAUGUGUCAGACAUUAGCUAUUGCAGCUGUAACAGUCUCAUUGUUUGCAGGAUCUAAAUCCAACACUGUUGGUGGCACAUUUUGUCCUGAGACCGUAGCUAUGAACAUUUUGUUUCCUGGAGAUUUUUAGCCAAUUUAAAAGAACAGACCAAGCUCAAUACCUGACAUUCACAUGGAAUAGUUAGCUUGUAAAAUCUAGGGAAAACGUCAAAUUAGUAUGCCAGCCAUUGUUUUCUUUUACCCGAUGCUACAGACCAAGGAGCGAGAUCCUUUUAAUUGACACAUUUAUAUAACGACUUUGUUUUGUUUUUUUUUCAUAAUUUUGUUUGUGUAUUUGUGAUUGUAUAUUUAAGAUUGUAGCCAAGUUCUGUAUAAGUGUAAUUCUAUUUACUCUUCUCUAGGACCCCUGUGCCCUUCACCCCUUCAUAUGUCAAAAGUAAAGCUGAACCUUUCAUUUCAGAUUGUUUCUAGAUGCAUUAAAGGUACAUCUACCUUUCACCUGAGAAGGUAGAUUAUAGUUUUUAAGUCAAUGUACAAUGUAUUUAUUUUUUUAAAGUCUUUGCCAUUGCAUUAUAUUACGAGACGAUACAUGUUGCUGUGUAUUUGAUGUUGCCUCUGUGCAUUAUUUUACUUAUGUUUUUUUUUUUCAUUAACCUAAGAUGAUAUAUAAAUCCUUGGAUGACUCCAUAAGAGUUCUUAAUAAACUUUGGAUAAUUUAAACAUGAUCCAGAUCAAUAAUUCCAAGACGCCUGUUUGAGGUUCCUGUGUAUUGGGUUUUAAAAACACCAGAGGGCACUCCACUGUAAGGCUUGCACUGAUUUAUAAAAAUGGUCAAAGUCUGUAGUUAAAUGCAACCCUCCUAAGGCAAUUUUUCUUGAAUACAUCACUCAUGAAAUACAGUGUUGUUUCAGGUUCAUUUCUCAAAUCUGCCAUUAAGCAGGUAUGUUCUUUGUUUUCAGAGCCCCUUUGUUUGUCGUUGUUUUACAGAUAUAUUUUUGCCUUGUGUCUGCCAUUGACAACUGAUAUAUGGUACCAAUAAAACACAUUUUCACAAGCU
Cyprinus carpio carpio is the source of this 1204-nucleotide long non-coding RNA. Lineage: Eukaryota; Metazoa; Chordata; Actinopteri; Cypriniformes; Cyprinidae. The record is from Ensembl.